RNAcentral lists this unclassified non-coding RNA (240 nucleotides) under soil metagenome. Its description in RNAcentral is "partial contains 5.8S ribosomal RNA, internal transcribed spacer 2, and large subunit ribosomal RNA". The record is from RNAcentral.
AACUGAUACUACCUGCGGGAACCUGCGGAAGGAUCAUUACCGAGUUUACAAAACUCCCAAACCCUUUGUGAACCUUACCUAUCGUUGCUUCGGCGGGACCGCCCCGGCGCCCUCGCGGCCCGGAACCAGGCGCCCGCCGGAGGCCCCAAACCCUCAUGUCUUUAGUGGUUUCCUCCUCUGAGUGACAUAAACAAAUAAAGUAAAAACUUUCAACAAUGGAUCUCUAGAUCGGAAGAGCAC